UCAUUGUGUUUGUGUUAGAAUAUAUGUUCAAUCUUGUACCUCAACUUCUGAAGCAGCGGGAAAGAACUAGAAUUGGAAAUGCAUUUGGGGUCCAAGGAGCUUGAGGUGAAUCGAACCAAGUGCUUGUAGGGGCCAAUAUCUCUUGGAAUGGACUCUUCCAUAUCAAAGAUACCAUAUGGAUCUUGUUGCCUUGAAUCUUUCUGCAACAUAAGGCUUGCUUUUGUAUUUAAGCUUGUCUCAGCUCUGAAGCUCAGAGAAAAAUUCGCAGACCUUGAAAUGGGACCUGAUUUCUCAAGUUCCAUGGCUCUUGAUGUAUGGCAACUAAAAUGGGACGGAGGGAGUAUAUAGUUGACUCUGAAAUUCAGAAUAUAACCGUACAAAGCUCAGUAAUUGGAUAGUACAGGAAGUCUCCUCUUAUACAGAUUGUUGGCAUGAAAAGUUUGACGCAAUAAUCUCCUUUUUAUGCUGUAACUGAUAUAAAAGAUUCUAUUAACAAAUGUGUUGGAAUCCAACUCUCGAUGCAAGGGAUCACAGAACAAAAAUCACCCUUUACACUUACAAGUAGAGAUUUAUUUUGUAUUACUAAUAGGUGUACUGGUAUGCCAUGCCAGGACGGCAGGACCCUUAAGGCCUUAAGCAACAUACCAUCCAUCCAACCGCUGGACGAGGUUAUUUUCCCCGUCCAGCGGUUAAAAACGCUGAACGUAUUAAAAUUUUGUCAUGGCCAGAAAAUGAUAUGUUGGUUAGGGGCUUCCUGACGUACAUCUGUGAGAGACCAAGACCCUACUAAUAGAUAUGUAGUUGUAUAUGUAGUGAAUUAUAAAGUUACGGAAACAUUAUGAUUUUACAUGGACAACAGAUACUGAAACUCAAACUCAUAAGGAAUCUUAUCAACAACCCGUGAUAGCUUGCCACUGCUAAGCCCUCUGAAGCAAUCCACCAUUGAUUUCCUUAAUGACCCUGAUGCUGGUAGUUGGUGACACACCCAUUCCACUAAUGAUUCCAUGUUAUUCUUACUAUUUUGCCCAAUUAAUUCAUGCAUAUUCCUGAUUAGUAGCUCAGGGAUCAAUACCCUCUUGCUGCUUGUCACCACAAUCGAAGCUUGCAGGUAUUCUAACUUUGUUCUCUCCAAUUCAGCUAGCACAUCACUUGUAUAAAUUUUCACCUGCAGAAAAAAUAUAUUCAUAAAGCAUCUAAGUUUUUUUUUUGGUUUUAUGGAUAUUUUUUACCUAAUAAACGACAAAAAAGACAGCCGACUACAUCAUAGUGAAUUCAUACUAGCUGCAACUUACUGCUGGAGAGGAACGGGUUCCACAGCACAGCGCAAAUGUGACAUUUGGGUCAGAUGAAUCCAGUCCAUAGAGUUCACGAGCAAUGGCUUCUUUAUCAUCCUUUUGGUAAAUCUAUAUGCAAAUUUAUGUAAUGUUUUUGAGUUUAAGACUACACCAGUUAUACAUGACAUAACUGCAUUUUUAUUUAGAUAGCGAUGCUUCUACCUCUUUUCUUAACGAGGAGGUUUGGUUUCUCAGUAUGAAAUGCUCAAUAGAUUGUGCAUUGAUAGUGUUUCCUCCAAUGUUGAGAGUAGCCUUCAAGAUUAUAUGGACCAUAUAUUCAUGAUGAAACCACGGUUGUUAUAUGCUAUAAGAAGUAAGUAAUUCUUACGAUGCUUGAAAGAUUAUUAAGUUACCUUGUUCAUUAAGGUGAGCAACUUUUCAGGACUAGAAGGAACUCCAUACUGCAGGAAUCCCUGAAAUUUACUCAAUUUACGAUGUAAAUGAGGCUGAUUAAAAGUAAUAUAUAUCCACACAAACACAAAUGAUAUUUUCAGAGAGAGUUGAAGCUUACAUGCAUAAUGCAAGCAUUGUACAUGUUGAUCCAGAAUGACAACUUCUGUUGGUAAGUCAUAAAUCUCAUAUCCAGCUUUUGAAGUCCAUUCAUCAACUCUCUUCAUGAAGUCAAAAUACUCGUGAAAAAGUUUAUUUUCAUAAUGUAAAAAGAAAAGAAAUAAAACAUAUGUUUCUCAGGCUUUCAUUGUGUUUGUGUUAGAAUAUAUGUUCAAUCUUGUACCUCAACUUCUGAAGCAGCGGGAAAGAACUAGAAUUGGAAAUGCAUUUGGGGUCCAAGGAGCUUGAGGUGAAUCGAACCAAGUGCUUGUAGGGGCCAAUAUCUCUUGGAAUGGACUCUUCCAUAUCAAAGAUACCAUAUGGAUCUUGUUGCCUUGAAUCUUUCUGCAACAUAAGGCUUGCUUUUGU
This 2252-nucleotide long non-coding RNA is filed under the name Daucus carota (carrot). Its description in RNAcentral is "long non-coding RNA (DCAR_LNC004088)". Lineage: Eukaryota; Viridiplantae; Streptophyta; Magnoliopsida; Apiales; Apiaceae. The record is from RNAcentral.